Molecule: long non-coding RNA, 375 nt
Organism: Lontra canadensis (Northern American river otter)
Lineage: Eukaryota; Metazoa; Chordata; Mammalia; Carnivora; Mustelidae
Exons: 3
Source: RefSeq, a predicted model, not a curated record
CGGCCAUCGGGGAUGCUGGGUCUGCGCAGGUCUGGACAGAACCCAGACCACGGAGGCACCGCUGGCCUCAGGAAAGUUACCUGCUGUCCGGGAAAGCCAGAAAGCCUCAGCCCCACGUUCUUGGUAUCAGGGAAGGUGGACACAGGCCAGACGCAGAAGGAAAACCCAGGCUCGGCCAGUCUGAGCAUGGGUCCCUGUUUCUAGCUGCCUGUGUCCAGGCCACCCUGAUACUCUGGCUUCCGGGAUGCAUGAGUGUCCCACCUGGAUGAAUGAGCACACGCAGGAGCAUUCCCUGAGGAGAUUCCUGGAUCUGAGAACCAGGUGUGUGUGUGGGAGGGGGGAACAGGUACUUUUCCUCUUGUCAUCACAGAUGGC